Molecule: long non-coding RNA, 612 nt
Organism: Pseudophryne corroboree (corroboree frog)
Lineage: Eukaryota; Metazoa; Chordata; Amphibia; Anura; Myobatrachidae
Exons: 3
Source: RefSeq, a predicted model, not a curated record
UUCACCUUAUCACCUCCCUGGGUUUCCUCACCCAGAGAGCCGGCAUCCUGCGGUUUGGGGGUCUCCAGUUGGGGAUCCUGUUUCAUCACUGGACCCACAAUCACUGGAAACGCUGUACUGUCCAAAUCCUCCAGCACUGAGGCUUCCACUGCAAUCGGCACAUGUGGACAUACAGAUGGUGCCAGAGUCAUGGAUGAAGAAAGAGGAGAGCCCAGGAAGCAAAUCAGGUUGAGGAUUAUACCAUGCACAGAGAGACGAGAAUAUUACACGGUUCAGUGACAAAGCAGAGGAUUCAUAAUAGCACGGGAAUCUGUGUAUUUCUGGAGGCACAAAGAGCAUUUUGUCAGUCUGAAUGAACGUGUCACAAGGUGCCCGGGGGCAUAGUGCGAGGUUCUUACAAACUUUCCACGAGACAAGAGAAGCACGGAGACAGUAAAACAGCUGGAUGGGCCAUACGUCCAGAUCUUUAAUGUUGGUUAAAUAAGAGCGUUCACAAUUGGGACAGCGUUGCUUUUUUUUUCACAGCUACAAAUAAAAGCGUCUUUUAUUCUGUGUAAUUUUCUCAUUGUGCGAAAUGGGAACAUUGUUAUUGAAAUAAAAUUAUAACAAUUA